This 498-nucleotide ribosomal RNA is filed under the name uncultured bacterium. RNAcentral describes it as "partial 16S ribosomal RNA". It matches the Rfam family "Bacterial small subunit ribosomal RNA", at positions 30 to 523 of the family's 1533-position model. The record is from RNAcentral.
AUUGAACGCUGGCGGCAUGCCUUACACAUGCAAGUCGAACGGUAACAGGUCUUCGGAUGCUGACGAGUGGCGAACGGGUGAGUAAUACAUCGGAACGUUCCUAGUAGGGGGGGAUAACUACUCGAAAGAGUGGCUAAUACCGCAUGAGAUCUACGGAUGAAAGCAGGGGAACGCAAGACCUUGUGCUACUAGAGCGGCCGAUGGCAGAUUGGGUAGUUGGUGGGACAAAAGCUUACCAAGCCGACGAUCUGUAGCUGGUCUGAGAGGACGAUCAGCCACACUGGGACUGAGACACGGCCCAGACUCCUACGGGAGGCAGCAGUGGGGAAUUUUGGACAAUGGGCGCAAGCCUGAUCCAGCAAUGCCGCGUGCAGGAUGAAGGCCUUCGGGUUGUAAACUGCUUUUGUACGGAACGAAAAGCCCCGGGUUAAUACCCUGGGGUCAUGACGGUACCGUAAGAAUAAGCACCGGCUAACUACGUGCCAGCCGCCGCAGUAA